GACUGAAAACAUGGCUGUUAAGAGAAGUAUGUGCUGUCGUAAGAGCCUGCAGUGAAGGAGCUGGCCUUGAUGAAGCAGCAGAACGUGAAAUGCCAAAACAGAUGGAGUUGCUUGGAUACAAGGAGAAUCUUACAGAAUACAAAUGAACUUGAAGGCAUUAGUAAUAUUUUCAAAAUAAUAGAGAAAUGACACAAAGAGUGAAAGAGGUGAAAUCUGUCUUUGAUGGGAAUAAUAUCUAAAAGGAGUAUUGUACAUAU
Molecule: long non-coding RNA, 257 nt
Filed under: Homo sapiens (human)
Lineage: Eukaryota; Metazoa; Chordata; Mammalia; Primates; Hominidae
Description: HSALNT0337436
Source: RNAcentral